GCUGGGUGUGGUGGUGCACACCUGUAGUCCCAGCUACUCAGGAGGCAGAGGCAGGAGGACCACUUGAGCUCAGGAGGUCAAGGCUGCAGUGAGCUAUGAUCACAUGACUGCACUCCAGCCUGGGUGACACAGUGAUAUCUUGCAUCUU
RNAcentral lists this non-coding RNA (148 nucleotides) under Gorilla gorilla gorilla (western lowland gorilla). Lineage: Eukaryota; Metazoa; Chordata; Mammalia; Primates; Hominidae. The record is from Rfam by way of RNAcentral.